Molecule: ribosomal RNA, 253 nt
Filed under: uncultured bacterium
Lineage: Bacteria
Description: partial 16S ribosomal RNA
Rfam family: Bacterial small subunit ribosomal RNA
Source: RNAcentral
GACGGAGGAUGCAAGCGUUAUCCGGAAUUAUUGGGCGUAAAGGGUGCGUAGGUGGUCAGACAAGUCCCAUGUCAAAGCAUGGUGCUUAACGCCAUAAAGGCGUGGGAAACUGUGUGACUAGAGUACAGCAGGGGCAGGAGGAAUUCCCGGUGUAGCGGUGAAAUGCGUAGAUAUCGGGAAGAACACCAGUAGCGCAAGCGUUCUGCUGGGCUGUAACUGACACUGAGGCACGAAAGCUAGGGGAGCGAAAGGG